Molecule: long non-coding RNA, 1149 nt
Filed under: Equus asinus (donkey)
Lineage: Eukaryota; Metazoa; Chordata; Mammalia; Perissodactyla; Equidae
Description: lncRNA (ENSEASG00005024721.1)
Source: RNAcentral
CAUUCUUGUGCAUUCUUUUCCUGGAGUUAAUCCCUGAAUGCAUUGUAUUGUCAUUCCUCUGGAGAAUUUAUAGGUCAGUAUCAAACUGGGACAGCUGGUGGCGGUCACCUGGGAUGGCCCAUCCGUAGGGUCCUAGGCAUGUCCCAGGUCGGGCAGCCAAGCAUCUGGCUGGUCAGCAUCAGGACAGUGUCAUGGUCCAUGUUCCCACCUGGGUCCAUACCUAAGGCGUUAUAGCCACUGCCAGAUCAUCAUGAAAACAGCCAAUUGAGUCCAAGACCAAUGGCCUCAUCCUAAGCCACUGGCUCAGUUCUAAAGAGAGAGAGCUAGUCAAUUCAAAUGAAAGGUGGCUUCUCCUGACACACUUGGAAAAAAAUAAUGCUGGCACAUCCUUAUUUUCAGAGUGAAAGAAUUCUGUCCAAAGAGUUAUGGCUCCCUUAAUUUCAAUGACCUGAGAAGCUUCCUCGUCCUGAGCACGUUCUUGCUAGUGGUGGGCCCCAGGCUCUAAUAAAUACACUGAGGAUCUACAUUUACACGAAACUCUGCAGACCACAACCAGGGUCCUGAAGAAGCUAUUUCUCUUCUUGAAUAAUAAGCUGACUAUUAUGAAAAGUGGUGGAAUGAAAGCUUUAGGGUUUUACCUGAGGAUCCAAGCCACAGUCUUCUUCAUAACCAUUUCUGAACUUCGAGCAACCUUUCAGAGGGUGCAAUUAAACAAGAAGAAUGGAAGGAAGAUCUUCACGGGACUAGUGGCAAGCUCCUGGGUUUAUUUGUAGUCAAUCUGUGUGGUUGGAAUCCUUUCUAACCACACUUGCAAUAAUUCGAAAACAGUGUGAGGGGAUGCCAAGUGCUGCGGAGGAGCCAGAGGCUUUUGUCUAUUCUGUCCUUCGUGCUGGUGACCGGGAGGGCGUCCCUGAACCUGAUCUGGAACCUUCAUCAUAUGAGCAGCUAACACCAAGAGGCAGAGAUGGCCCAGAAUGCUCUUUACCUUAGCUGUGGACUUUCAGUCAUGGUUAAACUUCCACAUCCACCGUCUCAUUGACCUCUGAUGAAGGCUGGUGUUGGGCUUAUAUGGACCCUACCUUUUGUCCAAAUCAUGUGUGUCCUUGUAUGAAUAGGAUGCCAUUCCACAAUUUGUUCAGUUACUGGUUU